This 460-nucleotide ribosomal RNA is filed under the name uncultured bacterium. Its description in RNAcentral is "partial 16S ribosomal RNA". It matches the Rfam family "Bacterial small subunit ribosomal RNA", at positions 338 to 795 of the family's 1533-position model. The record is from RNAcentral.
CCUACGGGAGGCAGCAGUGAGGAAUAUUGGUCAAUGGACGAGAGUCUGAACCAGCCAAGUAGCGUGAAGGAUGACUGCCCUAUGGGUUGUAAACUUCUUUUAUCUGGGAAUAAAACGUUCCACGUGUGGGAUUUUGUAUGUACCAUAUGAAUAAGGAUCGGCUAACUCCGUGCCAGCAGCCGCGGUAAUACGGAGGAUCCGAGCGUUAUCCGGAUUUAUUGGGUUUAAAGGGAGCGUAGGUGGAUUGUUAAGUCAGUUGUGAAAGUUUGGGGCUCAACCGUAGAAUUGCAGUUGAAACUGGCAGUCUUGAGUACAGUAGAGGUGGGCGGAAUUCGUGGUGUAGCGGUGAAAUGCUUAGAUAUCACGAAGAACUCCGAUUGCGAAGGCAGUUCACUGGACUGCAACUGACGCUGAGGCUCGAAAGUGUGGGUAUCAAACAGGAUUAGAUACCCUUGUAGUC